Ornithodoros turicata is the source of this 641-nucleotide long non-coding RNA. RefSeq lists it as uncharacterized. Lineage: Eukaryota; Metazoa; Arthropoda; Arachnida; Ixodida; Argasidae. The transcript is spliced from 3 exons. The record is from RefSeq and is a predicted model, not a curated record.
UAUCGUUUCCUUUAUUUCGGCUUCGUAUCACCGAUUGAAGCAUAUUGGAAGUGUGGGUUGACCUGACUGCACUUGCAUUCAAAGUAGUGAUUAACGUUGUAUGUUCGGCAGUACAAAGUUUCAUUAAGUGCCUUGGUUCGUCUUGGUGCUAAAAUAAAUACGGUAUCACUAAUUAACCAUCGAGAUUAACGAGUUUUCGAUGACUGUUGAAGUCUUGAGUAAACGAAAGUCGACAGUUACGGUUUGCAGGGCGGACAUGCCGGAACAUAAAUGCUGGUUAGUUCAUUGUCAUGUCAGCCCGACUUCGGUUGUUGCAUUUUUCGCUGGUAGUGAAACUACACACUGAAAAUUUUGCGCAAGUACUUUUGUUUGCAUAUCAUGGUUUCAUAGCAACUGGGUUUUUCUUUUUAUAGGUGCUUGGACUAUCUUGCAUCGGUGGAUAUGAAAAUAGUGGUAACCUACCCUACGAAACAGCUAUUUGCACAUAAGCUUAACAGUUCCCUGUGAGAUGCUGUGAAAGUCAGCAGGGAAGUGCGAUGUAGAAGAAAUGACUGCCAGAAGCUUGCUAAGGAACCGCACAACCUGUGUGGGCAGCAGACAAAAUAUUCAUCAAACGAAGUUUUGCACCAAAGUUAUGAGAG